Molecule: long non-coding RNA, 5454 nt
Organism: Rhopilema esculentum
Lineage: Eukaryota; Metazoa; Cnidaria; Scyphozoa; Rhizostomeae; Rhizostomatidae
Source: RefSeq, a predicted model, not a curated record
CCUCACAAAAUUCACAUUCUUGGCGACAAAAAGGUUUGAAAGACAUACAAAUUUGAGGGGUUUCUGCCGCUGAACAACAUUUGAAUACUCACAAAUCUUUUGUCAGACGAAAAUCCAUAGCUUAUCCUACUUCAGGGUUAACUUUAACAUUACAACAGCAUUCGAGCGGCACUGAAAAGCAACUAGUCAAAGUUGUCUUGUGGGCACGACUUUCAUGUAGUUACGAACCAAAGUUAUUACAAUAAUUUACCGCUUGUCACGCUUAUGCGGUAACAAGAUGUGCUUUAGAACGUAACAUGCAAACCAUAUGAUCAAAAAGCUUACCAAUUCUUCAUGACCCGGUCCUUCAUGGCAAAUCCAGAGAGCAGGAAAUCCAGGGAUAUCAGUCUGAAAAAAUGGAUUGUAAUCAGUUCAGAUUGUUGGCAUACAGAAGUUCUACAAAAAGGGAGGUUUAGCAAGGACUUGCACCAGAGUGUAGUUGAUCUGAAGUCCGAUGGUCAGAGGUUUGAGUUCCUGCCGUGACCAAACUUUUAUUCAGCGUGACAAGAAUUGCAAGCUGUCUGUAAUUCCAAGCAUAGGAAUCGGUCGAUAUUGAGGGUAUGGUCGAUAUUGAGGAAGGACAAGGACACUGGACACGGGACAAGAAAAAAAAAUCUCAAAGCAACACAUACAAACAGACAAACUUGUAUGUGUUCUUUCGAUAUUAGUAGUUACAAAUGUUCCACUAAGUGAGAACAUCAAAUUAUGUGCCGAUGCUUUGAACCGGAACGAGCUUGAUAGCCAUUCCCAUAGGAAGUAUCCAUUGAACUGAUGGAGACUAGGACACGUGCCAAUUUAGCUUUAACAAUGAAAUGUACCAUUGGUUGAAAAGUUUGACACUUGAUAACUCACAAUUGUAUAUCGCAAGCCAACUUUUACCGCAUAGCGAUGGGCAAAUCACUCCACAAAAUCGCAAUGGAUGAACAAGGCCCACGCGAGGAAAUUUGCAUAGAAAUCAAGAGGUUGUGGUUGUAACUCCCUUGAUUUAAAAGUAAAAAAAGCGAAAUAUGGCAUAUCCACUAUUAUAGCAUAUCCAGUCAUCUGUAGCUAAUGACUGCACCCAAAGGACUACUUCAUAUUCAUUGCAGUACUGGAUACAGAAAACGCUAUGUUUCCAUCAACUAUAUUGCAGAAUACAUUCCCACUAACAUUGCAAAGAUGGCUGAAAGACUUAUUCCAAAACUGCUGGCAUGGCUUUGCUUCCCGCCUCUUCACUUGAAAUGGCGAUAAAUCAGAACUUACUUCAGCAGUGUUCUAGUGAGGGCCUGGGGCUAAAGAUGGGAAACCUGCGUAUUUAAAAGGCCUUUAAAUAUUCUGUUAGUUUUUGUUGAAGCCCAAAAAGGAAACGUUUGAUAACCGUAUAAAAAUGAAAUACAGAAACACUACCAUCAAGUAGUUCAACUCCAACAUCACCAUUCAACAUAUAUUUUAUUUCAUUUAAAAGGCUUCUCUUGUAAAUUACAUAGAUGACAAAACUUAACCACACAGCUGACCAAGUUGUUGCUUUUGCCAACUGCAUAAUCAAAAAGUGCCCUUGAAUUGCUUACGUGCCAAAUGAAAUGAGCAAAGGGGUGACCUUUGUGGGCCAAGAUCUAAAAUUUUUCCAUUCGAUAUGCUUUUAGAAACAUAAAAAACAAUAUCAAAACCAGGGUUACCGAAAGGUGGUGUCGAUGGAAAAUUGGCCUCGCGGUUCAGGUUCAGGGGGCCCUCGGGGUUUCCAACUUGUGACUGCAAAAAAUAUUCUGAAAUGGAUUUUUCGCUAAUCUAAAGGGCAUGGUCGUCAAAUUUUUUCUGCUCGCUUCGCUCGCAAAGGCUUCCUCUAUCGGUUGCGCCACGAGGCCUCUGAAAACCUCUCAGCGUCAUUGCUCACAACUAAGUCAGAAAAUGAUAUCUACAUCAUUGUAGUCAGGCUCUAUGAAACAGCCUUUUUUAACCUUUCUGGAAUCUUUUUUUAGAUACCUCUUAAACAGGCUUUUAAACCUUAUCAACUCGGGUUAGGAAAGGGAAAGGAACAAGAGAAGGUAUUUGCCAACUUCGCAUACUUAGUGAACAUAUGAUUGAGAAGAAAAGGAAACUGUUUGUAUGCUUCAUCGAUUAUACAAAAGCUUUUGAUAGAGUUAAACACGAAAAGCUGAUUGAAGUUCUUGAAAAGUAUAACAUUCCGCUCAUCAGCAACCUAUACUGGAACCAAACAGCGACGGUCAAAACUAACAAUGGAGAAUCCAGAACCUUCAAAUAAAAAAAAGGUGUUCAACAAGGAUGCAUCCUAUCACCAAUCCUGUUCAACAUGUAUAGCGAAGAACUAAUUCAAGAAGAUUUAGGCAAUUCACAUGGAAUCGAAGUAAAAACGAGGUAUGCAAAAUCUACGGUAUGGAGUUGAAUGCCAAAAAGAUGAUAUUUAUGGUAAUUGAAAAAACACCAGGGACUAAUCUCUGAGAAACAUCUGAGAAAGCAGUUCUCGAGCAAGGAAAAAGUUAUUGCUACCUUGGGUCUCAAAUCACAGAAGAUUGCAGAUGAGUAGAAGAAAUCAAGAAACGCCGUGCAAUGGCAAAAAUUGCAUUUCAACGUCAUCAAGACCCUUUCAACAUAAACAUCAACUGUAAGACGAAACUAAAUGUACUCAGGACCUAUGUAUAACCAGUCCUUACCUACGGAUGCGAAGCCUGGACCAUCGGAAAACCCAUGAAAGACGAAGUACAGGCUUUUGAGCUAUGGUGCCAUAAAAGUAUGCUAAAGAUCAAAUGGACGGAUAGAAUCAGAAAUAAAAAAGUACUAAAAAAGAUGAAUACAACCCCUAAGCUGCUUAACGUCAUUGUGAAAAGAAAAGCUGCGCUUUUUGGUCAUGCUGCAAGAGGAUCCAGUGGUUUGGUUUUCUCUAACAUCGUGGAGGGGUUUAAAGAAGGUAAAAGGUAUAGUGGAAGGCAAAGAAGAAUUUGGAUGUACGACAUUAAAGAGUGGGUUGAUAUCUGGGAUUACGACGAUCUGAAAAGGAGGUCAAUGGAUAGGGUUUGGUGGCAGGGGUGGCGCCAAAAAUCUUCCGACAGAGGGGCUGGAGCUUCCGACAGAGGGGCUGGAGCUUCCGACAGGGGGGCUAAAAUGACUAAAAUAAGCAGUUUUCGUACGUUAUUUUGUCAAAUUUGCUCCAACAAAAACCUAAAAUUUCCUCCGAUGGGGGGGCUAGAUGCUUCCGACGGAGGGGCUGUAGGCCCCCUAGCCCUCCCCUGGCGCCACCACUGUUUGGUGGAGGAGUAUAGUUAGCAACCUACGGACCACGUAGAUGCUACUCUGGAUUAUUGAAUGAAACCUUAUAGAAUGUUUGUUAGGUACCACUUUAAACAGGUGUCCUCCAUUUUCAUAAUUCUUCUUACGUCCUUCAAUUCAUGACGUUUUAUUCAAGAUGUUUUUUGAAUCAAGAAGUUUUCAUGCAGCACGGUUUCCUAUUCAAAGCUUUUAACGUACCGACUGGUUGUCCCAUUGGGUCCAUUUGCUUGUCCUAGCGGGCCCUUUUGAAUCCCCACUAGUUGAAGUCCUUAAAAAAUAUCUUGAAGACUUGGCUUGCAUUUGGCAAGCAGUGCCAGAAUGCACGUGUAUUUUAAUGAGCCAAUGCUAAAAGCUUCUUAAAGAUUCUUAGCGAUUUGACUUUCUUAUGAGAUCCUUAUGGAAACCCUGGUGCAAUCUGAAAUUUUAAAUUCAGAUUACAGUCUCUCUUCAGAAGCAAGAAAAAUAGAAUGAUAUCAUUCCUUUUCGAUCAGUUUCAAACGAAAAAAGUACACCCAAACUUCACAAAUAUUUAAGCAAAGAUCUCAGAAUUCUCGUCGUUCAAUUGUACUCGUGAUUUUUGCAAGGAAUAUGUACUCUAACAUGAGUUAGCGUUGGUAAUUCAAAUCAGUUGGCUUUAUUCAGCUUCAAUAUAGAUAAAGAUUGUACCAACUUUAAAUAAAGAAAGGAAAAAGCUGUAUGUUUAGAGUUAUAUCCAAAAGUUACAUCAAGCCAUGUAGACGGUCAUCAGAACAAAUUUUUGCUUUUAUGUAAGGUUGGAUUGGGUCCAGCCUCCCUUGAUGAUUGAUGUUGGGAUGAACAAAAUUUCGAGAAUGAAGUUUGACUGUAAGUCCUGAUUUAAAUGUAUUUUUAUGGGUGUUGCCCCCCCAGUCUUUAGGGCGUAACAAUGCAAAACUUUCCCUAGGGGCCCCCCGACUACCGACCCUAUUUCCCUUAACAGCACCUUCACCAACAACCAGGCAUCGUCGUUGGCAAGACGACGAUUCCAGAUCUGUUUCAUUAGCAAACUUUUAUACCCCCAAGGUGGCCUUUCUGCAGUUCCUGCCCCCGCCGCAUCACGAUGCUUCCGGCGCCUCUGUAGAAUGUAUGAAUAAUAACAUAUAAUCUUCAGAUUUUCAAGCUGAAUUUUUUUCGUGCACCGGCCUAGACAUUACGACAACUGAAUUUUGACAUUCACAUAUCCGAACUUUGUAAAAGGGCAGCAACACAGAUAAAUGUGCUUAAAAUACUAAUUGCUAUUUUUUGUUGGUUUUGAGGAUAAAAAGGUUCCGUUUCAAAGCUUUGUCUUCUCUUAUUUUGACUAUUUCCCUCGAACAUCAUUUCUCGCUUUGCCUAGAUCUAUAAAGAAGAUCUAACAAAUACAGGAAAGAGCCCUACAUAUUUUUAUAAUGAUCAUAAUUCAUCUUUUGGAGAUUUGCUUUGCAAAUCUCACAAAUGCACAAUGCAUGUAAAUCGGCCAAGGUACCUCUACAUUGACAUUUUCAAAACUGUGAAAAAAUUAAAUCCUGAAUUCAUGCAAUUUUUUUCGAACCAAGAACCUCUCGUCCACAAGACUUGCAGCACUACAGGCCCAACCAAACAACUUUCGGUUCAAACAGCCUCAGGUCCCUCGGAUCACAAAAUUGGAAUGGCUCACAACAGGAAAAAAAUCUGCAGAAAACCUCAUCCAAUUUAAAAGAUUAAUUAAAAACUGGGACGGGGCCACCUUUACCUGCAACGUAUGCAAAAUUAAAUAAUUUUAUUGUAAAUUUGUAAUUAAAAAAUUAUUAAACAUUGUCAAUUUGUGUAUUUUGUAAAUGAUCGAAUCAGACAAGUUACUGUGUUGUAGCUUAAAAUUAUAUUCAAUUUAAAAUAAGAUCAUAAACAAACAAACAAAACUACAAACUUUCCAUCUGUAGUCCCCACACCUUUUUAUACAAAUACUUUUUUUCUGCCACGCUUUGAUAUUCUUAAGAACUUUCCACUUUGAGCUCUAAAAUAAUCUUAAAGCAUUCUUAAUGAUACCAUGGGCAAAUUCUGUUGGGAAACGGAAAAGCGAAACGAAACUGAAGCCUCAAGUUAAGCAUAAUUUAGAUAAAUCCAAGAAAUUAUAUACUAUCCUUUGCUGCUGUAUUGUGGCAAAAAAAGAUAUUAUUG